GCGAGGUAUGGUGUUCUUACUG
This 22-nucleotide microRNA is filed under the name Cordylochernes scorpioides. Lineage: Eukaryota; Metazoa; Arthropoda; Arachnida; Pseudoscorpiones; Chernetidae. The record is from RNAcentral.